RNAcentral lists this ribosomal RNA (406 nucleotides) under uncultured bacterium. RNAcentral describes it as "partial 16S ribosomal RNA". It matches the Rfam family "Bacterial small subunit ribosomal RNA", at positions 30 to 526 of the family's 1533-position model. The record is from RNAcentral.
AUUGAACGCUGGCGGCAGGCUUAACACAUGCAAGUCGAACGAGUGGCGGACGGGUGAGUAAUGCAUGGGAAUCUGGCUGAUGGAGGGGGAUAACUACGGGAAACUGUAGCUAAUACCGCGUACCAUAGGAUGAGCCCAAGUGGGAUUAGGUAGUUGGUGAGGUAAAGGCUCACCAAGCCGACGAUCCCUAGCUGGUCUGAGAGGAUGACCAGCCACACUGGGACUGAGACACGGCCCAGACUCCUACGGGAGGCAGCAGUGGGGAAUAUUGCGCAAUGGGCGCAAGCCUGAUGCAGCCAUGCCGCGUGUAUGAAGAAGGCCUUCGGGUUGUAAAGUACUUUCGGUAGGGAGGCGUUACCGACAGAAGAAGCACCGGCUAACUCCGUGCCAGCAGCCGCGGUAAUUC